RNAcentral lists this ribosomal RNA (253 nucleotides) under uncultured bacterium. Its description in RNAcentral is "partial 16S ribosomal RNA". It matches the Rfam family "Bacterial small subunit ribosomal RNA", at positions 524 to 776 of the family's 1533-position model. The record is from RNAcentral.
UACGGAGGGUGCAAGCGUUAAUCGGAAUUACUGGGCGUAAAGCGUGCGUAGGCGGUUCGUUAAGUCUGUUGUGAAAGCCCCGGGCUCAACCUGGGAACUGCAUUUGUGACUGCAUAGCUAGAGUACGGUAGAGGGGGAUGGAAUUCCGCGUGUAGCAGUGAAAUGCGUAGAUAUGCGGAGGAACACCGAUGGCGAAGGCAAUCCCCUGGACCUGUACUGACGCUCAUGCACGAAAGCGUGGGGAGCAAACAGG